RNAcentral lists this transfer RNA (65 nucleotides) under Cacoplistes rogenhoferi. RNAcentral describes it as "tRNA-Leu". The record is from RNAcentral. Lineage: Eukaryota; Metazoa; Arthropoda; Insecta; Orthoptera; Phalangopsidae.
ACUAAUUUGGCAGAGAAGUGCAAUGAAUUUAAGAUUCAUCAAUAAAGUAUAAACUUUUUUUAGUA